This 236-nucleotide ribosomal RNA is filed under the name uncultured Staphylococcus sp. Its description in RNAcentral is "partial 16S ribosomal RNA". It matches the Rfam family "Bacterial small subunit ribosomal RNA", at positions 104 to 334 of the family's 1533-position model. The record is from RNAcentral. Lineage: Bacteria; Bacillati; Bacillota; Bacilli; Caryophanales; Staphylococcaceae.
GGGUGAGUAACACGUGGAUAACCUACCUAUAAGACUGGGAUAACUUCGGGAAACCGGAGCUAAUACCGGAUAAUAUUUUGAACCGCAUGGUUAAAAAGUGAAAGACGGUCUUGCUGUCACUUAUAGAUGGAUCCGCGCUGCAUUAGCUAGUUGGUAAGGUAACGGCUUACCAAGGCAACGAUGCAUAGCCGACCUGAGAGGGUGAUCGGCCACACUGGAACUGAGACACGGUCCAG